Molecule: long non-coding RNA, 1768 nt
Organism: Nomascus leucogenys (northern white-cheeked gibbon)
Lineage: Eukaryota; Metazoa; Chordata; Mammalia; Primates; Hylobatidae
Exons: 4
Source: RefSeq, a predicted model, not a curated record
UUCAAGGCUGGUGCUCUCGUUCAGAUAGAUUUAGCUGGUGGUACAGAGAUCCGUGAGCUUGCUUUUACAGGACUUUAAUGAUAUAUAAAAGCAGCACGAGGUGCUCCUGACUGUGGAUUAAUUUGGAGAUGACUUUCUCUGUUGAAGAGUGGCAAGACUCUCGCAAGUUCUUAAAAAUGCACUUGUUUGGUAUGAGAAUGAAAAGCAGUGGCUGAAGAACCAAUCUUCAAUGGGCAAGCCUUCUCUGAUGGACAUUUAGAUGGCUUUCAUUUAUCUCCCAUUACAAGAAUACUUUGUACAUAUAUUGUCUGUUCUAACACAUGCCAUUUGGGAUCCCUUGGAAUCUUCAUGUACAGAACUGGUUGCUACCUCAUUGAGUCGGUGGGGACAGAAUAGCUCCUGGUUGACAGCAUGGGUUGUGCAGAAGGACGGACCCUACAGACAUCAAUAUCUGGCUGUGAGUGGCACAAAGAAAUAAAGGAAUGUGGAUUCAGACCUCACUGGGAUGCUUGGCAAUUCUAAUUCUACCCCAGACUGCAAAUGGACACACAACUGUUUUGACUUUUGUUGAAGAGGAGAAGGAUGGGUAAGCAUGUGACGUUGGGAAAUUGUAUUUUCUUCUUCGAGUUCUUCUGUUUCCGAAUAUUUAAUCCUACUGUUCUCUUCUUUAGUGAAGGUCUCUUUAGUCAAUAAUCUCUUUGCUGAAAUUGCUUCGGGCAGCACAGAAGCUGGAUUCAGAAGCACGCAGGUCUGGGGAUGCAGGCUUCGGCCAGCCUGAUGCAAGGAAAGACUGCCAUCUCGUGGUCAGCUCAAUCCUGGCACCUUGGUGAGGGUCCAGGCUGCAGAAAACCAGGCUUGGGGAGGAAAUGGUGCUGCAAACUGGAUUUCUGCUGGACAGUGUGGAUGCCCUUAGAAAAUACCCAGAAAAGAGCUGAGUGCCCCCCAAGGUAGGCUUCAGUGACUCCUCUGCAGGUGUGUUGUCAUCCCCUGAGCCAAACACAUGCUUCACACACACGCUGCAGGCUGCGUGAAAAUGAGGUAGAAAUGUGGGGAAAAUAUAACCCCAUGGAGAGAGCAAAGAGCUGAACACGUAAAUGCCUCCAGCGUGCCUGGCAGAGAGAACACUCAGGCUGAGAAAAGGGACAGCUACUUGUACCAAAGGUAGGGAAGUAGCCUCUGGGAUCUCAAUCAGCAGGGCAUCUGGUCAACCCCUCAGACAAAGUCAGGUCUGAGCAGGAAAGAUCCAUGGAUCUGAUUUAUUAAUAUUUUUAUAAUUAAAUAGAAUCUGAUUGUAAAACUGUUACAUGUAUUUAAGAAAAAAAGAAAAAACAAACAAUAUAGAAAUGUACAAAGAAGAAAAUAAAAGACUGGAAGCGUCCUCACCUUAGGGACCUAUUAUUAACGCUUAGGUGGCCAGUCUUCCAGACAUCUUGCUAUGAAUAUAUUCAAAUGGAAAUUAAAAAUGUACUUUUACAUAAGUGCAGUCAGACCUUGUACUCCUCUAUCCCAUAACCUGCUUUUUCAUUCAACAGUAUGACAGAAGCGUCUUUCCAGGUCAAUAAAUAAAUUUGGUCUCAUUGUUUUUUAUCAAUUACAUAAAGCUAAUGGUAUGUAAUACUGAUUUCAUACCUGCUAUAUGCCAGGCACAUACAUGAUCUUGCAUAAUCUCAUAACAACUCUACCGAACAGGAGUUUGUAUUAUGCCCAUUAAGCAGAUGAAGAGGCUGUGGCACAAGAAAAUUGAUCAGCACUGCCAGGGUAUCUGACC